UACGUAGGUGGCAAGCGUUGUCCGGAUUUACUGGGCGUAAAGAGCGCGCAGGCGGUCGUUCAAGUCGCGUGUGAAAGCCCCCGGCUCAACUGGGGAGGGUCACGCGAUACUGAUCGACUCGAAGGCAGGAGAGGGAAGUGGAAUUCCCGGUGUAGUGGUGAAAUGCGUAGAUAUCAGGAGGAACACCGGUGGCGAAGGCGGGACUCUGGGCCGAUACUGACGCUGAGGAGCGAAAGCGUGGGGAGCAAACAGG
Molecule: ribosomal RNA, 253 nt
Filed under: uncultured bacterium
Lineage: Bacteria
Description: partial 16S ribosomal RNA
Rfam family: Bacterial small subunit ribosomal RNA
Source: RNAcentral